UGAGGCCAUGAGUCAUUAAUAAAUUAUAUUCACAGAAUUGCCACUGUUGCAGCUUGGAUUUUGCAAAGUGCAGCUGUUCUGGAAAAUAGUGUAAAGUGAAAAAGAAUAAAUUAUAUUUUGGAGUUUGAGGUAAAAUGAUGCAAAAUGUGAGAAAAAUUCUGGUGCUAGUUGUAAAACUAAACCAAAAGUUGGUUACAGAUAGUCAAGCUUAGGUAGGUGGAGGGGGAUUGAGUUAAUAGAUAUGGGGCAAAGGGAAGAUUUCAUACUAUUUUGACAUUUUUACUGAAAUUUGCAAUGUGCUAAAUACUUGUUCAUUACUAUAAUGAUCAUUACUUUAUGUAAGUUAUGUAUUUUUAUUUAUUAGUAGCUGUUUUUGGAAAUAAAGUAUUAUAGAUUUAA
This is a long non-coding RNA of Heteronotia binoei (common prickly gecko), 399 nucleotides long. RefSeq lists it as uncharacterized. The transcript has 2 exons. The record is from RefSeq and is a predicted model, not a curated record. NCBI's taxonomy places the organism in Eukaryota, Metazoa, Chordata, Lepidosauria, Squamata, Gekkonidae.